This 94-nucleotide ribosomal RNA is filed under the name Maxillaria houtteana. Its description in RNAcentral is "5.8S ribosomal RNA". It matches the Rfam family "5.8S ribosomal RNA", at positions 1 to 85 of the family's 154-position model. Rfam says of the family: 5.8S ribosomal RNA (5.8S rRNA) is a component of the large subunit of the eukaryotic ribosome. It is transcribed by RNA polymerase I as part of the 45S precursor that also contains 18S and 28S rRNA. Lineage: Eukaryota; Viridiplantae; Streptophyta; Magnoliopsida; Asparagales; Orchidaceae. The record is from RNAcentral.
GAUGGACACGACUCUCGGCAAUGGAUAUCUCGGCUCUCGCAUCGAUGAAGAGCGCAGCGAAAUGCGAUACGUGGUGCGAAUUGCAGAAUCCCGC